GGGUGUACUCUUUUUGUGGGUACAUUUUGAGACAUUAAUGGCUGUAUUUUUAAUUAUUUUGAGGGGACAAUACAUUGAAGCUGUUAUAUGAGUUGUUUGCUGGCUACUUUAUUGUGUCAAAGGGAAGAUCCUUUAAUGUUGUCACAUGAAAAGAUAGAGGCUACUAACAAGUCUGCAGAAAUGUGACAAGUGUAGUCAAUUCUGACACACACUGUAAGGUCCCACUGUCUGUAGUCUGAGUGAAGUUUCCAGUAUUAAAGGUGGGAUAGGAGAUGUUUUUCUGGCACAUAUUUUACCAUAUCAUCUGAAAAACUCCUCAUGACGCCAUAGCACCCAUUGAAAUAGAGUGUUUGGAAAAAAAACGAAAUCUUUUGGUCCAGUCUAGAGGGCGUAGUCAGAAGAAAACGGCAACCAAUAGAAGUAAUACUCAUCAUCACUUCUAUUGGUUUCUGACACGUCCAUCAACCGCCAGCACUCACCCCUCCUCCCUGCGCGUUCACCGACUCGUGAACUUGACCGACCCCGCCCCCAUCAUUCAUGCACACGCGACAAGGCUCAUCAUCACUCGGCUAGUAGCAAGGUAACUAGAGUUAGCAGCAGGCUGAGCUACUUGAAAACUUUGGUGGCUUUUGCAGAGCUACAGGAAGAACUUUGGCUUUUGGAACACUGGACUAACCAUGUCAGGAUAACAUACUCCCAUAGUCAUCGGACUCGCAAGACCAGACUCCAACACGGGCUGAAAAUUUGAAAUGGGACCUGACACUCUUGGACACAGAUGUCGGCUACGGCAGCGGCUUGAAAUACGCUUUGGUGACCAUAUUUCGAAUCGAGAGUUGUGCGAACGAGCCAGACAAACCAGCUGGGAGGAGGACGGAAGCACCCCUUCUCCAUCCGCGUUCAGUUGCUAAAUACUGAUUCACCACGUAGUCAACAGCAGACAGGGUCCUUCCACAACCACAUACUUAUGCCAGUAAAAGCCACAGCUUUUCUCCUCCAAUCCAAGAAGCCUGGACUGCAGUCACCAUCUCAACACACCAACCAAGAGAAAGGCGGAUGGCUCAAUUCAGUAUGUAGUUCUGCAAAUAUUCUCAAAGGUCUUCACAGCCCCCCAUGGUGCUGAAUGCAUUUACAUUUAUUUGUGUAAGGUAAAAACAAUGCUGAUUACAGAACAUAACUAGGGCCAUGAAUGAAAUUUGAGGUAGCAGCCAGUCAUCACCUGAUGGUGAGAGGUGGUCCUAAGAUCAGAGAGAAGCAGGUUGAAAUCCCAUCCUUACCUCUCCCUACCUACACCUCCAUCCACAGCUGAAGUGCACUUGAGCAAGGCACACAAGUCCACUUAGGUCCUGGGACUGUAGCCAACACCCUGUAAAACCCUGCUGUGUAAUUUGAUGUAAUGAAGCCCUAAUAUAGUCUAACACAUUGCUUGUUACAGAUAUGGAAAAUUGCACAAUAAAAGUUCCAGGACAUGAAGGCUGCAUACUGUGAACGUCAACCUUCAGGGCACCGUCCUGCGCAGAAGACUUUCUACCCUAAGAGGGAUGGCUGACCGCAGACAAUCACAACCAGCACUUACGCCUCCAACCUCAGACUAGGCCCUUCACAGUUGCUGCACUUACCCACCUUCCCAGAGUUUUUGUGUGGUAAUGACAACUGUAAAUAUAGUAUAAAGUAAUGUAUCUAGUGUCAUGUGUAAUACAUUGUCUAAAUUGUCCAUACAUUUCAAUGACAGUAAAUAUUGGUGGACACAA
Molecule: long non-coding RNA, 1748 nt
Organism: Engraulis encrasicolus (European anchovy)
Lineage: Eukaryota; Metazoa; Chordata; Actinopteri; Clupeiformes; Engraulidae
Exons: 4
Source: RefSeq, a predicted model, not a curated record